This 429-nucleotide ribosomal RNA is filed under the name Gemmatimonadota bacterium. RNAcentral's name for it is "Gemmatimonadetes bacterium partial 16S ribosomal RNA". It matches the Rfam family "Bacterial small subunit ribosomal RNA", at positions 355 to 776 of the family's 1533-position model. The record is from RNAcentral. Lineage: Bacteria; Pseudomonadati; Gemmatimonadota.
UAGGGAAUCUUCGGCAAUGGACGAAAGUCUGACCGAGCAACGCCGCGUGAGUGAAGAAGGUUUUCGGAUCGUAAAACUCUGUUGUUAGAGAAGAACAAGGACGUUAGUAACUGAACGUCCCCUGACGGUAUCUAACCAGAAAGCCACGGCUAACUACGUGCCAGCAGCCGCGGUAAUACGAAGGUGGCAAGCGUUGUCCGGAUUUAUUGGGUGUAAAGCGAGCGCAGGCGGUUUCUUAAGUCUGAUGUGAAAGCCCCCGGCUCAACCGGGGAGGGUCAUUAGAAACUGGGAGACUUGAGUGCAGAAGAGGAGAGUGGAAUUCCAUGUGUAGCGGUGAGAUGCGUAGAUAUAUGGAGGAACACCAGUAGCGAAGGCGGCUCUCUGGUCUGUAACUGACGCUGAGGCUCGAAAGCGUGGGGAGCAAACAGG